UCUGCGGGGAGGCGGUGCCCCCGUCCCCAGGGGCUCCCCGCAGAGCAGAGGCGGUUAGCGGGGUGGUUAUCUGAGGCCCAGCUCUGCCGGAUACUCUUAUCGCCCGGGUCUUGGAGACAAGCAGAAGCGGAAUGACCCACACACCCAGGAACAGUCACCAGAAUGGAGUGGACGUAUCGUUUCUCUUGCACAAUAGAUCCCAAAGCUCGCCCUUCGUGAAGUAUUUACCAAAAACUUCCCAAGCCUCCAGAACUGUGCCAGAGACCACGAGGCCACAUGGAAACAGAAGACAGAAUCCCUGUCCCCAAGGAGCUUAUUUCUAUUGAGGAGGCUGAAGAAAACUUCACGAGAUAAAUAAUAAUAUAAGAAUCAAAUCACUCGCAUGGGCAACGUAAUAACUGCUGCAGUAGCCGUGUCCGGCACGGCCACACAGGUCUAACAGGCUGACUGUGACGGAUACCAAGGUGUGAGUAGAAGGUCACCCUCCCGAAUACAGCAGUGUGCAGGAGACAACACCUUCCGAGGAGGCAGGACUCCGGGGGGAAGCUGGAGUGAGAUUCCACGGCGGAAGUUUCUUUGUUCCAGGAAUGGCAACUGCGGAAGCCCUGAGAACCGGGAGAAAUGCAGUCAUUAGGGGAGAGAAAGGGGACCUGUCAGGUACACUGGAGAAGGCUUUGCGUCACCUUGAUAACAGCCAAGAAGAAUAAACCACCUGUCCUAUUCCCAGGGGACACUGUAAACAUUUGCUGAAUUUGAGUGAAUGAGUGAAUGAGUCGGUCACUGAAAGAAGCAGAAACAAAAAGAUCGGGGUUCACACCCGGAGCAGGCCCGGCCCGGCACAGAAUCCCAUGGCCACAUGAAUGAAUGAUGGCAGAGCCCUUUAGGAAAUGGAAUCAUUUGAAUACACUGCAUUUUGAUGGUUUUUU
Molecule: long non-coding RNA, 926 nt
Organism: Lemur catta (Ring-tailed lemur)
Lineage: Eukaryota; Metazoa; Chordata; Mammalia; Primates; Lemuridae
Exons: 3
Source: RefSeq, a predicted model, not a curated record